AGCAUCAACCAAAUCAUGAAACAGCUCAUAAAACUGUGAAAGUGUACAUCGACCAUAUCGAAUAUAUUGAGUGGAUCCUGAUAUUUUCAUCUUGAUGAAUGAAUGUCCCACAAGACUUGCUCAUCAAACUUGGUCAGUACACCAUCAUCGAGUCGUUUCCACGUCCUGAUCUUCUCCAUACCCAUCCAGACUUCCUUUCCCUUCCCAAGUUCUGCCUGUAUUACCCUUGCUCUUCUAGGCCAACCAGCUACACCAUAACCAUGAUAUCCAAAGCCUCCGCCAUAGCAAAACCACAUACCUUCUAGAUUACCACAAUAAUCAUUAUUAUGAUCAUGACCUAUAAAAAAAGCCUUAACAUCCCUCAUAGAGAUAAAGGUCUUCAAGACUCCAGAGUUCACUAAUGAACAUG
RNAcentral lists this unclassified non-coding RNA (409 nucleotides) under Hevea brasiliensis (rubber tree). Lineage: Eukaryota; Viridiplantae; Streptophyta; Magnoliopsida; Malpighiales; Euphorbiaceae. The record is from RNAcentral.